RNAcentral lists this small nucleolar RNA (120 nucleotides) under Marmota marmota marmota (Alpine marmot). Lineage: Eukaryota; Metazoa; Chordata; Mammalia; Rodentia; Sciuridae. The record is from RNAcentral.
ACGAAAAAGUGGCUUCAAGAGCAUUGUUCAUAACCAGUAAGACUCACUAAUGUUUUCUACAGCAUUUCCAAUGACACAUGACUGGCUGGUGGCUUUCAGUUUCAGGUCUUGGAGACAAUU